This 325-nucleotide ribosomal RNA is filed under the name Pseudomonas aeruginosa. RNAcentral's name for it is "bacterial LSU rRNA". It matches the Rfam family "Bacterial large subunit ribosomal RNA", at positions 1052 to 1378 of the family's 2925-position model. The record is from RNAcentral. Lineage: Bacteria; Pseudomonadati; Pseudomonadota; Gammaproteobacteria; Pseudomonadales; Pseudomonadaceae.
GUUGUGGUUAAGUGGUAAACGAUGUGGGAAGGCUUAGACAGCUAGGAGGUUGGCUUAGAAGCAGCCACCCUUUAAAGAAAGCGUAAUAGCUCACUAGUCGAGUCGGCCUGCGCGGAAGAUGUAACGGGGCUCAAACCACACACCGAAGCUGCGGGUGUCACGUAAGUGACGCGGUAGAGGAGCGUUCUGUAAGCCUGUGAAGGUGAGUUGAGAAGCUUGCUGGAGGUAUCAGAAGUGCGAAUGCUGACAUGAGUAACGACAAUGGGUGUGAAAAACACCCACGCCGAAAGACCAAGGGUUCCUGCGCAACGUUAAUCGACGCAGG